RNA transcript from Leopardus geoffroyi (Geoffroy's cat), 1317 nucleotides. It is a transcript of the gene named methylthioribose-1-phosphate isomerase 1, with no coding region annotated. The record is from RefSeq and is a predicted model, not a curated record. The transcript has 7 exons. Lineage: Eukaryota; Metazoa; Chordata; Mammalia; Carnivora; Felidae.
CGUAGGGAGGGCCCCCCACCUCGUCUUUCCAGAGCGGCGUGAGCGAGGCGGCGGUACCAUGGCCUUGGAGGCGAUCCGCUACUCCCGGGGCUCGCUGGAGAUCCUCGACCAGCUGCUGCUGCCCCAGCACAGCCGCUACGAGGCAGUGGGCUCGGUGCGCCAGGCCUGGGAGGCUAUCCGCGCCAUGAAGGUGCGCGGCGCCCCGGCCAUCGCGCUCGUGGGCUGUCUCAGCCUCGCCGUGGAGCUGCAGGCGGGUGCGGGGGGACCGGGCCUCGCCGCACUGGUGGCUUUCGUGCGCGACGCGCUGAGCUUCCUGGUCACCGCUCGGCCCACCGCGGUCAACCUGGCUCGCGCGGCCAGCCAGCUGGGCGACGCCGCAGCCUUGGAGGCCGAGCGCGAGGGCGCCACGGAAGAGACGGUCCGAGAGAGAGUGAUCUGCUGUGCCGAGGACAUGCUGGAGAAAGACCUCAGAGACAAUCGGAGCAUCGGGGACCUAGGAGCCCGCCACCUCCUGGAGCAGGUGGCUCCUGGGGGCGGCAAGGUGACCGUGUUGACCCACUGCAACACUGGUGCCCUGGCCACUGCUGGCUAUGGCACGGCCCUGGGGGUGAUCCGCUCGCUGCACACCCUGGGCCGUCUGGACCACGCCUUCUGCACGGAGACCCGGCCCUACAACCAGGGAGCCCGGCUGACUGCCUUCGAGCUGGUCUACGAGCAGAUCCCCGCCACGCUCAUCGCCGACAGCACGGCAGCAGCCGCCAUGGCCCACAGAGGGGUGUCAGCCGUCAUCGUAGGAGCCGACCGCGUGGUUGCCAACGGUGACACAGCCAACAAGGUGGGCACCUACCAGCUGGCCAUCGCUGCCAAGCACCACGGCAUCCCCUUCUACGUGGCCGCCCCCAGCUCCUCGUGCGACCUCCAUCUGGAGACAGGCAGGGACAUCGUCAUCGAGGAGCGCCCAGGGCGGGAGCUGACCGACGUCAGUGGCGUCAGGAUGGCAGCCCCCGGGAUUGGGGUUUGGAAUCCUGCCUUCGAUGUCACCCCCCACAACCUCAUCACCGGCGGCAUCAUCACAGAACUGGGGGUCUUUGCUCCUGAGGAGCUCCGGGCAGCCUUAAGCACCACCGUCUCCUGAGGGCGGGUACCCCAGCUGGACCCCAGAAGUAACCAAGCUGACUCUCCAUAUCCUGCCCCCAUUGCCUUAGGUUUUGCAAAGCCCUCCGUAUCAUGUACGUCUGUGGGCGUCUGUCUCUUUAAUGCCGUGCCCCGUUGUGUCCCGUGAAUCUUUGCGCGCGCCCUGCCGGCCCCACUGUAUCC